This 597-nucleotide ribosomal RNA is filed under the name Lutibacter sp. RNAcentral's name for it is "bacterial SSU rRNA". It matches the Rfam family "Bacterial small subunit ribosomal RNA", at positions 28 to 619 of the family's 1533-position model. The record is from RNAcentral. Lineage: Bacteria; Pseudomonadati; Bacteroidota; Flavobacteriia; Flavobacteriales; Flavobacteriaceae.
GAUGAACGCUAGCGGCAGGCUUAACCCCUGCCAAGUCGAGGGGUAACCGGGGUGCUUGGCACCGCUGACGACCGGCGCACGGGUGCGUAACGCGUAUAGAACUUCCCUUUAACAGGAGAAUACCCCAGAGAAAUUUGGAAUAAUGCUCCAUAGUAUUAUUGAAUGGCUUCAUUUGAUAAUUAAACAUUUAUGGGUAAAAGAUGGCUAUGCGUUCUAUUAGCUAGAUGGUAAGGUAACGGCUUACCAUGGCAACGAUAGAUAGGGGUCCUGAGAGGGAGAUCCCCCACACUGGUACUGAGACACGGACCAGACUCCUACGGGAGGCAGCAGUGAGGAAUAUUGGACAAUGGAGGCAACUCUGAUCCAGCCAUGCCGCGUGCAGGAAGACGGUCCUAUGGAUUGUAACCUGCUUUUAUACAGGAAGAAACACUCCCUCGUGAGGGAGCUUGACGGUACUGUAUGAAUAAGCACCGGCUAACUCCGUGCCAGCAGCCGCGGUAAUACGGAGGGUGCAAGCGUUAUCCGGAAUCAUUGGGUUUAAAGGGUCCGUAGGCGGGCUAAUAAGUCAGGGGUGAAAUCCAACAGCUUAACUGUUGA